This 139-nucleotide small nucleolar RNA is filed under the name Setaria italica (foxtail millet). Its description in RNAcentral is "Small nucleolar RNA Z247". It matches the Rfam family "Small nucleolar RNA Z247". Rfam says of the family: Z247 is a member of the C/D class of snoRNA which contain the C (UGAUGA) and D (CUGA) box motifs. Most of the members of the box C/D family function in directing site-specific 2'-O-methylation of substrate RNAs. The record is from Rfam by way of RNAcentral. Lineage: Eukaryota; Viridiplantae; Streptophyta; Magnoliopsida; Poales; Poaceae.
GUUAUAGAUGACGAUGAGAUGGUUCACUUUAUUCUCAAUGGCCUUGAUUUUGAUUACAAUCCUUUUGUUUUGUCAAUGCUUGGCCGUGUUGGUUUUCUCUCCUUGAGCAAGUUGUAUUCUCAGCUACUCACAUAUGAUC